RNAcentral lists this ribosomal RNA (464 nucleotides) under uncultured Acidimicrobiales bacterium. RNAcentral describes it as "bacterial SSU rRNA". It matches the Rfam family "Bacterial small subunit ribosomal RNA", at positions 28 to 505 of the family's 1533-position model. Lineage: Bacteria; Bacillati; Actinomycetota; Acidimicrobiia; Acidimicrobiales. The record is from RNAcentral.
GACGAACGCUGGCGGCACGCUUAACACAUGCAAGUCGAACGGGGUCCAUGGAGCUUGCUCCGGAAGACCUAGUGGCGAACGGGUGCGUAACACGUGAGAAACCUGCCCUGAACUUGGGAAUAACAGUCGGAAACGACUGCUAAUACCGAAUACCUUCACGACGUCGCAUGGCGAUGUGAAGAAAGCCUUGUGCGGUUCAGGAGGGUCUCGCGACCUAUCAGCUAGUUGGUGAGGUAACGGCUCACCAAGGCAUCGACGGGUAGCUGGUCUGAGAGGAUGAUCAGCCACACUGGAACUGAGACACGGUCCAGACUCCUACGGGAGGCAGCAGUGGGGAAUAUUGCACAAUGGGCGCAAGCCUGAUGCAGCGAUGCCGCGUGCGGGAUGAAGGCCCUAGGGUUGUAAACCGCUUUCAGUAGGGAAGAAAAUGACGGUACCUAUAGAAGAAGGUGCGGCCAACUACG